This 388-nucleotide ribosomal RNA is filed under the name uncultured bacterium. Its description in RNAcentral is "bacterial SSU rRNA". It matches the Rfam family "Bacterial small subunit ribosomal RNA", at positions 28 to 417 of the family's 1533-position model. The record is from RNAcentral.
GACGAACGCUGGCGGCGUGCUUAACACAUGCAAGUCGAGCGGUAAGGCCCUUUCGGGGGUACACGAGCAGCGAACGGGUGAGUAACACGUGGGUGACCUGCCCUCAGCUCUGGGAUAAGCCUGGGAAACCGGGUCUAAUACCGGAUAUGACUCCAUGACGCAUGUUGUGGGGUGGAAAGCCUUGUGCGGCUGAGGAUGGGCCCGCGGCCUAUCAGCUUGUUGGUGGGGUGAUGGCCUACCAAGGCGACGACGGGUAGCCGGCCUGAGAGGGCGACCGGCCACACUGGGACUGAGACACGGCCCAGACUCCUACGGGAGGCAGCAGUGGGGAAUCUUGCGCAAUGGGCGAAAGCCUGACGCAGCGACGCCGCGUGAGGGAUGACGGCCU